RNAcentral lists this long non-coding RNA (727 nucleotides) under Rattus norvegicus (Norway rat). Its description in RNAcentral is "long non-coding RNA NONRATT025475". The record is from RNAcentral. Lineage: Eukaryota; Metazoa; Chordata; Mammalia; Rodentia; Muridae.
CAGGACCUCUGGAAGGACCAACUGAGCCAUCUCUCCAGCCCCAGUUGGGGGCUCUUAACCGCUGAGCCAUCUCUCUCCAGCCCGAGAUUUCUUACCAUGGAGAAAAUCUGUCUCUUCCUGGAGAGGCAAGUGUAGACCUAGUGUGGGAGUGCUCAGAAUGUGCAUGUGAGUUGUUAUUCCAGGACCAGGAAGAAAACAGCUUCCAUUUUCUCGUGGUAUUGGGGACGGAGUCCAGAGACUUGUGCAUGCUAGGCAGGUGUUCUCCCACUGAGGUCCAUCCUGAUAAAAAUCACCAUCCCCGGGCUGAGGAGGCCUUUAAAGUUUUGCGGGCAGCUUGGGACAUCGUCAGCAAUCCAGAGAGGCGGAAGGAAUAUGAGAUCAGCCUCUACAGCAGUGGUUCUCAACCUGUGAGUUGUUGACUCCCAACAACCGUUUUGCAAGGGUCGAAUAUCAGCUAUCCUGCAUAUCAGGAAACGGAUGGCAGAGAAUGAGCUCAGCCGCUCGGUGAAUGAGUUUCUGUCGAAGCUACAAGAUGACCUCAAGGAGGCAAUGAAUACGAUGAUGUGCAGCCGGUGCCAAGGGAAGCAUAGGAGGUUUGAAAUGGACCGGGAACCCAAGAGUGCCAGAUACUGUGCCGAGUGUAACAGGUUGCAUCCUGCUGAGGAAGGAGACUUCUGGGCAGAGUCAAGCAUGUUGGGCCUCAAGAUCACCUACUUUGCACUGAUGG